This 4679-nucleotide long non-coding RNA is filed under the name Homo sapiens (human). RNAcentral describes it as "HSALNT0174086". The record is from RNAcentral. Lineage: Eukaryota; Metazoa; Chordata; Mammalia; Primates; Hominidae.
UAGAUAAUGUGUAAGUAAAGGCUGGAACUGCUGCAUCCAUUUUGCCACCAUGAGGAAGCCAGGCUGCUGCUGUAUGAAAAGCAUAACAGGAAGCUUGAAAGAAACUAGCGCUGGAUGACAUUGGUGAAAUGAAAGGGAAGGAGACAUUCAGCAUCAAGUCUCAAUGUGUGGUGUGAAACAAACACACCCAGCCCCACAGAGGCAUCUUCCCUGGGGCAAUCUCAGAGUUUGCUCAUGGGAGGGGCAAAACCAGAGGAGAAAUGACAGCAGGUGUUCUUGCAUUGCCAUUCUUGUCCAGGCUGAUCUGCUCCCCAGACAGAGACAGUGCCAUUUCCAGGAUUGCCAGGCCAACCCUCCUCUUUCUGGAUCAAUCACAUCCCACUCAAUAAGGUAUUAAUCCUGUGGAGCUUUCUGUACUGCAACGUACCUCCCAGUAAAUGGGCUUGGGCUUAAUCAUUCAGCAGAGAUGAGGAUGCAGGUAGUACCUAUAUCAAACAGCCUUGAGAAAGACGACGUGCAGGUACUAAGGAGAGAGGCAAUUCCCCUGUAAGAGUCCCCUUUGCUAAUUCACCAGUGUUUCUCAGCCCCAGGAAGCCAAGUGGCAUUGUAGUUAACAUAACCUUGGUCUUUUGGCAGACAAGAGUUGGGGUUCCUCUUUUACCCAAUAGCAGAAGUCUUCUGGUCUGAGGCUUACUCUAAUGAUGCUCCUUUUUCCCAUGAAUGAAAUGGGAAAAUAAGAUCUUGCGGUGUUGUGGGAGGAUCUUAAAGAUUAAGUGCUUGGAAAACUCUCAGCACACUGCCUGACGUGUAGAAAGUAUGCUGAAAAUGUUAAAUUGUGUCUACCAGAAAUCCCUUCAGGGACCCCCCAAUUUGAUCCCUAGAAAAACCUUGACCUGAACUAGAAGCUGAGAUCCUGAAUGGAUCCUGAAUGGGAGUAGCCCUGUUUUACAUGAUGUAAGAGGAAAGUUUCACCUGUUUCCCCACACGGGCGGGAGAGAGAAAGGAAAGAGAAGACAGCUGCAUGGAUGAAGACCUUGCGCAGUGCAGUGACCUCUCCUCAGCGAGCCCCACCAGAUCUUCAGGAAAGUCAAUGAACUCAUGAUAUCUUGGUCCAAAUGCAGGCGGGGGGGUGGUUAAGGCAGUGAACUUCACACCCAUGCUGAUGUGUGUUGGAGCCAAAGUCACAACUGUGAAAGCAGGAAGUGGACACAGACAGAAGUUUGAGGCACAAAGCUCCAGGGACUCUCAGGAACAGGGGAAAGUCUUUGAACCUCCCUGCCACCGAGACCAUACAAUAGGAAUACAAAUAGGAAUUUAGGCUAAGUCCAAUUGGAUCUCAAAAAAGCAGGUGGCUUCAACUGACAACAGGGUACAUCAUUAUUAUCAUCAUGAUCAUCACCAUCACUGCCAUCACCAACAUCAUCAAAUGAUGUUGUCUGCCUAUGGAAUGCAAAAAGCUGAUUUUCGGCAACCAAAGCUAGGGCCCUGGAAGCUAACACAUUCUUAACCAGGGCUGCAUUACCUAAGAACUUCUGUUUUUUCACUCACCUGAUUGUGGAAAUAUCAAACUACCUCUACGCUCACUAUUCCCCAUCAGUGAGUGUCUGUAAGUUAUCCCUUGCCUUUUCCUACUCUUGCCAGCCAUUUUUCAGUCCAGCAGCAAUGGCUUUUCCUGGGUCUGGAAGUCUCCUGGUCUCCCACUUAGGUGACUCACUAUUCCGAAGCCACUUUUCUGCACUGCAGUAAGCCCCCAGUUACAAAUUACUUACCUGCUGGCCAUCAUUUUAAUGUAAAUGGAUUUUAAAAAGCAGCAAAGGAAUAUAUUUUCAUUUGGAGUUAAAGCAUCCAUUUUUUAUUUGAGUGUGAGCCUGGUCUAGGAGAGAUGGCAGAAGAAUGGCUCCAAGGCUAAUAUGGUUAAUGAUUAUGAUGGAGAUCCCAUGAGCAGCCGAUAUUUCACUUGCAACCAUCUCGAUCCGGGCUUUGCUGGCUGCAGUACUUUCUUUUUUUCACAGCUACUUCCAUUAACACCCACCGCCUAUGAUAGAACCAUUAUGAUAAUAUCUCUGCUUUCGGCAGCCUCAAUUGGUCUUGACACAUUAUCACCCUAAGAGCUUAGCCACGUCGCACUAAGUCCUAUUUAUAAUAACCCUUGGCAGGAGCUACCAAAAUAAAACCUGGUACUUAUGAACUACCUUUCAUCUGAGGAAAUCAGAAAGCUUUACAAGCUUAAUUAAGCUUCAGCAUCUAUCUGACUGAUGAGAUAUGUGGGGCCUUGGAAAGCUGAGGAGGCACAGAAUCACUAAUUGUGCACUGGAUAAAUCUCUGGGUGGCAACGAAGAAUAGAAAUCAACAAAGAAGAACGAGAGUCACCUCUUUUAGUGGGAGUGUUUGUUGAGUGAAUUUUUUCAGGGUGGGUUGAGACCAACAAUCAUAGGUUAUUGAUGAAGGGGCCAUGGAGGGUCUCUAAUGAGGUGGCUCUCAAUCUAGGGCGGGGGCCUGAGAUUUACUUCUUUUGCCAAAAGAGGAUUAAGCUAAUUCAACACACUCAAGGGCUUUCAAGGACAAAGAAAUUGAGCUCCUGAAAGAUGUGGUAAUCUGCCUGUGGGCACACAGCUGUUGAGCUCACACACUGUUCCCUCUACUUGGCUGAAUCUCCCACCCCACCUGUAAAUCUCCACUUCCCCUUCAAGACUCAUCUUAACACCUGCCUCCUCGGUGAAGCCUUCCUGGACUUCCCUGGCAGAAUCAGUCACUCCCUAUUCUAUGCUCCUGCGUGUGCUUUCUAUUUCCAUAAUAUCUACAGCAAUUGAUAUUUAUUGAGUCCUUUCUAAGUGCUUAAGGUACAUUUUAUCCAUACAAUAAUGAGGCAGGUACAGUUACCAUCUCCAUUCUACAGAUGAGUUAAGUGGUCCGGAGAGGCUAAGUGAUUUUCCCAAGAUGGUACAGCUCAUAGGUGCAAGACUCAGCCUGGCUGCAGAGCACAUGUUCCAAAACAUUAAACCACACUACUUUCCCAGUAGCCCAGUUGUGAUGGAAGAGAUCUGUUUGUUUAUAAGUCAGCCUCCUUCCUUAGUUUGUAAGCUCUGAUGUGAAAGGGUAUGUCAUUCAGGAGAAUUUGGGCUGCAAACAACAGAAACCCCAACUCAGAGUAGCUUAAACCACAGGAAAUCUAGAGGAAGGGCAUUUCCAGAGUUGAUUAACUUGGGGGCUUGGUGACAUCAGCAAGGAUCCAGGUUCCUUCCAUCUCUCUACUCUGCCUUCCUGAUUGUGUGAACGUAGUUCCCCUUGCAUUAACAUGACUUCCUCAGUUCCAGGCCUCCCAUCCAGCCUGAACCAUGCAGAAAAGGUGCCAUAUCUUUCUUGUGUCUCUGUAAGAGUACAGACAACUUUUCCAGAAACCUUCCACUGGGCUUCCCCCGUAACAUUCACUAGCCAGAAUGGUCUCACAUGCCUAAGCCUUAACCAGUCACUGCAAGGAAUUGAAAGCACCAUGACUGGUUCAGCCCAAACAGGAUUCAGCAUCCCUUAAAGGUUAAAGGCACAGAGGAUGAAGGUAGAGACCUGCCAAAAAGGAGGAAGGGAAGGCGGAGGAUGAAAAGAAGACAACAAACGUUCCCUGAUGCAGGUGUGAAGGAAGAUCUGAUGCCCAAUCACUUAUUCCUCAGUCCUUUGGCCUUUACCAUGUGGGCAACAAAUGUCUGUGGAACUAAAUUAUAGUAGAGAAAUUCAUGUCUCCAAAUGCCCAGUCCAGAAUUCUUACCAUCAUACUCUGUAACCAGGACUGAAAUAUGUGUUGGCGACUGCUCUAAAAUUUACUAAAUUGAUUCACCGGUGCUCCAACCUUUAGAUUCGAGUCUUUAACACUAGUGUCUGCAGGAACCUUUGCAAAGCAGGUCCAAAAGAGAGCUAGGUGGAAUAAAGAGAAUCGUAAAAAUGUGUCUCAUCACAAUUUACAAGGUUCUUGUCAACCAUGACUUUCUUUCCAGAAACACAAUGUGUUCUUAAAAGUGGGACUUGUUCAAGCAGAUAGGUUCAUUGCAUUCAAAGACUACUCUAUUUCCUGACCUCCUUCUAGCUCUCCAGUAGGAUUUAUCUGGAACCAGGCAUCAAUAUACCCACCCUUGACAGCCAAGAAUGUGAGAAUGAGAUCAGUUAAGCAAUUUUUGGAAGACCCAGAUCAUAGUCAAAUAGAGAUACCAAGAAAAGGAAACUGAUCCUCAAGCAGAAACAUAAUGUACCCUAGGGUAGAAAAGACGGGAAGGAGGGAAUGGCUUAGUUCAGGCUUACUAUAACAGAGCGCCAUUGGCUGGGGUAGUUUAAACAACAAACAUUUGAGCGGGCGCAGGGGAUCACACCUGUAAUCCCAGCACUCUGAGAGGCCAAGGCGGGGGGAUCAUUUGAGGCCAGGAGUUUGAGACCUGCCUGGCCAACAUGGAGAAACCCCAUCUCUACCAAAAAUAAAACUAAAAAUAAAAAAAAUUAGCCGGACGUAAUUGUGGUGGCACACACCUGUAAUCCCAGCUACUCGAGAGGCUGAGGCAAGAAAAUUGGCUGAGGCAAGAAAAUCAGUGUAGGUUGCAGUGAGCCGAGAUUGUGCCACUGUACUCCAGCCUGGGUGAUAGAGCAAGACUCUGCCUCAAAAAAAAAUAUAUAGAUAGAUACAUAGAUAGAUAGAUGAU